GGAGCGUUCAUUUUGGCAAGGAAAUGUGCUGAAUUUUGCAAGGACAUGGAGAAUAAAGAGUUCAAGGAGUCAGAGGUCAGUGGGAAUGACCUCACCCUCAUAGACCUGGAUGACCCCAUCAAUGACGGUGAUGUUAUGAAGGAAGACAGAUCUGAUAAAGAUCACAGAGAGGUUGAGAGACAGACC
This is a long non-coding RNA of Salvelinus namaycush (lake trout), 186 nucleotides long. RefSeq lists it as uncharacterized. The transcript has 3 exons. The record is from RefSeq and is a predicted model, not a curated record. NCBI's taxonomy places the organism in Eukaryota, Metazoa, Chordata, Actinopteri, Salmoniformes, Salmonidae.